UAUUGCGCAAUGGAGGCAACUCUGAUGCAGUGACACCGCGUAUAGGGAGAAGGUUUUCGGAUCGUAAACUAUUUUAGACAGGGAAGAAAAAAGACAGUACCUGUAGAAUAAGCUCCGGCUAACUACGUGCCAGCAGCCGCGGUAAUACGUAGGGAGCAAGCGUUAUCCGGAAUUAUUGGGUGUAAAGGGUGCGUAGACGGGACAGCAAGUUAGUUGUGAAAGCCCUCGGCUUAACUGAGGAACUGCAACUAAAACUAUUGUUCUUGAGUGCAGGAGAGGAAAGCGGAAUUCCUAGUGUAGCGGUGAAAUGCGUAGAUAUAUGGAAGAACACCAGUGGCGAAAGCGGCUCUCUGGUCUGUAACUGACGCUGAGGUUCGAAAGCGUGGGUAGCAAACAGG
Molecule: ribosomal RNA, 398 nt
Filed under: uncultured bacterium
Lineage: Bacteria
Description: bacterial SSU rRNA
Rfam family: Bacterial small subunit ribosomal RNA
Source: RNAcentral